RNAcentral lists this long non-coding RNA (1040 nucleotides) under Homo sapiens (human). Its description in RNAcentral is "HSALNT0144141". Lineage: Eukaryota; Metazoa; Chordata; Mammalia; Primates; Hominidae. The record is from RNAcentral.
UCUAAGAGGAAUUACAAAUACAUUCCUGAGCACUGAGCUGGGCUUUUGACUACCUCAUUGAGCUUUCACUUCAGCCUGACUCAGGAGAACUGAAACAUCCUACCACAGGGAUUCACAAGGACUGCUGGGGAGCCCUGCCAAAUUCUGGCCGAUUUAUCCCGAGAACAAUCUUUUGGUGAAGGCCCUAGAGUAUCUGCUUAUGUCCUGACAACAUGGGGAUUCUCUGGGACAAGGCAAGAGGACCCAAGCUGUGUUCAAAUGAGACCCAGAGAUCCCAGUGCAAAGGGACACCUUUGGUAAAACUGGCCACUUUGGGUCAUAUAGAUCCCAAAAGAAAUCAUGCCUGACUUCCUAAAAUCAAAACCAUAGGGAUUUAUCAAGAAGAAACCCUGUUUAAUUGGCCUAUAGAUGAGGAUGCAACCUAAGGCAUGACUGUUGCUGAAUGAGCCCAAGUGAUGGGCCAAAAAGGUGAACCAGUCCAAACAUGGCAGGACCAAGAAGGAACAAGCAGUGGUUUUUGCUAGGCCUUUUGAAGACAGCAGGAAUCUGGGAGAAGGAACAUCAUCGUCUUUCACAGCAUGGAAACAUCAAUCUUAUUCCAGAGAAGGGAAGAAGUCCCCAAAGAUGGAUUAAUGCACACAGAUGCCGUGUUUUUAUGAUGAUGAGGCAACUAAGGUGAAAGGCCAAGCAGUUCUUCCAAAGGAUUCUUUCCAAAUUUGGGAAAUUGGCUCAGGGAAAGCCUGCCUGCACAGAGUUCUGGAAAGCCAGUCCUAUGAUGGGGCUACCUUCUGCGGGUGGGUGGAGGCAGGGGGCAGAGAGGAAAGAAGAUUCAACCUGAAAAAUCUCAAAACAGAAGAAAAACAAAGUUUAUGAAACACACACUAUAUACUGGACACUGUGGUAGACACCUAUGCAUUCUAUCUUACUUGAUUUUCACAACAAACACACGAGGUAAGUAUUCGCAGUCCCAUUUUUCAGAUUGAGAAACUAAGGCUCAGACCAAUUAAGUGAUUUGACUCUGGUUAGGCAGCUAGUAAGUG